This 373-nucleotide ribosomal RNA is filed under the name uncultured bacterium. Its description in RNAcentral is "bacterial SSU rRNA". It matches the Rfam family "Bacterial small subunit ribosomal RNA", at positions 525 to 896 of the family's 1533-position model. The record is from RNAcentral.
ACGGGGGGGGCAAGCGUUGUUCGGAAUUACUGGGCGUAAAGGGCUCGUAGGUGGCCUGUUAAGUCAGACGUGAAAUCCCUCGGCUCAACCGGGGAACUGCGUCUGAUACUGGGAGGCUUGAAUCCGGGAGAGGGACGUGGAAUUCCAGGUGUAGCGGUGAAAUGCGUAGAUAUCUGGAGGAACACCGGUGGCGAAGGCGGCGUCCUGGACCGGUAUUGACACUGAGGAGCGAAAGCCAGGGGAGCAAACGGGAUUAGAUACCCCGGUAGUCCUGGCCCUAAACGAUGAGUGCUUGGUGUGGCGGGUAUCGAUCCCUGCCGUGCCGAAGCUAACGCGUUAAGCACUCCGCCUGGGGAGUACGGUCGCAAGGCUG